Molecule: transfer RNA, 55 nt
Filed under: Fragilariopsis kerguelensis
Lineage: Eukaryota; Bacillariophyta; Bacillariophyceae; Bacillariales; Bacillariaceae
Description: partial tRNA
Source: RNAcentral
GAAGUACUAGCUGCGGUAGAAAAAAGUCGGCGACAAAAGCAGCAGCAUCAUCGAC